This 719-nucleotide ribosomal RNA is filed under the name Streptococcus suis. RNAcentral describes it as "bacterial SSU rRNA". It matches the Rfam family "Bacterial small subunit ribosomal RNA", at positions 1 to 704 of the family's 1533-position model. Lineage: Bacteria; Bacillati; Bacillota; Bacilli; Lactobacillales; Streptococcaceae. The record is from RNAcentral.
UUUAUGAGAGUUUGAUCCUGGCUCAGGACGAACGCUGGCGGCGUGCCUAAUACAUGCAAGUAGAACGCUGAAGUCUGGUGCUUGCACUAGACGGAUGAGUUGCGAACGGGUGAGUAACGCGUAGGUAACCUGCCUCAUAGCGGGGGAUAACUAUUGGAAACGAUAGCUAAUACCGCAUAACAGCAUUUACCGCAUGGUAGAUGCUUGAAAGGAGCAACUGCUUCACUAUGAGAUGGACCUGCGUUGUAUUAGCUAGUUGGUGGGGUAACGGCUCACCAAGGCAUCGAUACAUAGCCGACCUGAGAGGGUGAUCGGCCACACUGGGACUGAGACACGGCCCAGACUCCUACGGGAGGCAGCAGUAGGGAAUCUUCGGCAAUGGGGGCAACCCUGACCGAGCAACGCCGCGUGAGUGAAGAAGGUUUUCGGAUCGUAAAGCUCUGUUGUAAGAGAAGAACGUGUGUGAGAGUGGAAAGUUCACACAGUGACGGUAUCUUACCAGAAAGGGACGGCUAACUACGUGCCAGCAGCCGCGGUAAUACGUAGGUCCCGAGCGUUGUCCGGAUUUAUUGGGCGUAAAGCGAGCGCAGGCGGUUUGAUAAGUCUGAAGUAAAAGGCUGUGGCUUAACCAUAGUACGCUUUGGAAACUGUCAAACUUGAGUGCAGAAGGGGAGAGUGGAAUUCCAUGUGUAGCGGUGAAAUGCGUAGAUAUAUGGAGG